AAUCUCACCUGGGAGCCACCAAUGAGUUCUCCGGGUGCCUCAUUAUCGCCUGGAUUCCCUCCUCCAGGACCAGAGAGGUGAACAGAGGCAACGGACCCCAGGGGCAUGGGCGCAGUCCCGGGACCCCUUCACCAAGAGGAACCCGGGUGUCUUCUCCCUGCGGCUGCCGCAGGUGACUCAAAACACCAUUCACGCUCAUCACGACUUUGAAAUAAUGCCAGCGGUCGGCGCCAUCGCUAGAUCUUGCUGUUGAAUCUCGUUAUUUAACGCAGUCACAAAAAGAAAGCGCAUAAGGGACCAGAUUACGAGUUUGCUCUUUAUUUUAAUGGCAUUUCAACAAA
This 341-nucleotide long non-coding RNA is filed under the name Equus caballus (horse). RNAcentral's name for it is "lncRNA (ENSECAG00000055982.1)". The record is from RNAcentral. Lineage: Eukaryota; Metazoa; Chordata; Mammalia; Perissodactyla; Equidae.